AUCUAUAAUACAUUAUUUCAUACCACUUUGCAUCUGUAACCUUCCAAGAUAUUUAUUCCAAAACAAAAAAAAAGAAAAAAUCACAAAAGAGAAUAGAUAAAACGAACCUUCGAAAACUUGAUAAUAAAUUCACAUUUUGCUUCCCAAGAACUACGAAAAUCGCAAUCUCCACAGCAUAACACCGAAAUAUCACAUAAGCACAUACUCAUGCAUUCACC
RNAcentral lists this long non-coding RNA (218 nucleotides) under Carica papaya (papaya). RNAcentral's name for it is "long non-coding RNA (CPAP_LNC013938)". Lineage: Eukaryota; Viridiplantae; Streptophyta; Magnoliopsida; Brassicales; Caricaceae. The record is from RNAcentral.